This 1487-nucleotide ribosomal RNA is filed under the name uncultured bacterium. Its description in RNAcentral is "bacterial SSU rRNA". It matches the Rfam family "Bacterial small subunit ribosomal RNA". The record is from RNAcentral.
AGUUCGAUCAUGGCUCAGGAUGAACGCUAGCUACAGGCUUAACACAUGCAAGUCGAGGGGCAGCAUGGUCUUAGCUUGCUAAGGCCGAUGGCGACCGGCGCACGGGUGAGUAACACGUAUCCAACCUGCCGUCUACUCUUGGACAGCCUUCUGAAAGGAAGAUUAAUACAAGAUGGCAUCAUGAGUCCGCAUGUUCACAUGAUUAAAGGUAUUCCGGUAGACGAUGGGGAUGCGUUCCAUUAGAUAGUAGGCGGGGUAACGGCCCACCUAGUCUUCGAUGGAUAGGGGUUCUGAGAGGAAGGUCCCCCACAUUGGAACUGAGACACGGUCCAAACUCCUACGGGAGGCAGCAGUGAGGAAUAUUGGUCAAUGGGCGAGAGCCUGAACCAGCCAAGUAGCGUGAAGGAUGACUGCCCUAUGGGUUGUAAACUUCUUUUAUAAAGGAAUAAAGUCGGGUAUGCAUACCCGUUUGCAUGUACUUUAUGAAUAAGGAUCGGCUAACUCCGUGCCAGCAGCCGCGGUAAUACGGAGGAUCCGAGCGUUAUCCGGAUUUAUUGGGUUUAAAGGGAGCGUAGAUGGAUGUUUAAGUCAGUUGUGAAAGUUUGCGGCUCAACCGUAAAAUUGCAGUUGAUACUGGAUAUCUUGAGUGCAGUUGAGGCAGGCGGAAUUCGUGGUGUAGCGGUGAAAUGCUUAGAUAUCACGAAGAACUCCGAUUGCGAAGGCAGCCUGCUAAGCUGCAACUGACAUUGAGGCUCGAAAGUGUGGGUAUCAAACAGGAUUAGAUACCCUGGUAGUCCACACGGUAAACGAUGAAUACUCGCUGUUUGCGAUAUACAGCAAGCGGCCAAGCGAAAGCGUUAAGUAUUCCACCUGGGGAGUACGCCGGCAACGGUGAAACUCAAAGGAAUUGACGGGGGCCCGCACAAGCGGAGGAACAUGUGGUUUAAUUCGAUGAUACGCGAGGAACCUUACCCGGGCUUAAAUUGCAGAUGAAUUACGGUGAAAGCCGUAAGCCGCAAGGCAUCUGUGAAGGUGCUGCAUGGUUGUCGUCAGCUCGUGCCGUGAGGUGUCGGCUUAAGUGCCAUAACGAGCGCAACCCUUGUUGUCAGUUACUAACAGGUUCUGCUGAGGACUCUGACAAGACUGCCAUCGUAAGAUGUGAGGAAGGUGGGGAUGACGUCAAAUCAGCACGGCCCUUACGUCCGGGGCUACACACGUGUUACAAUGGGGGGUACAGAGGGCCGCUACCACGCGAGUGGAUGCCAAUCCCAAAAACCUCUCUCAGUUCGGACUGGAGUCUGCAACCCGACUCCACGAAGCUGGAUUCGCUAGUAAUCGCGCAUCAGCCACGGCGCGGUGAAUACGUUCCCGGGCCUUGUACACACCGCCCGUCAAGCCAUGGGAGCCGGGGGUACCUGAAGUGCGUAACCGCGAGGAGCGCCCUAGGGUAAAACUGGUGACUGGGGCUAAGUCGUAACAAGGUAUCC